This 645-nucleotide ribosomal RNA is filed under the name Triticum aestivum (bread wheat). Its description in RNAcentral is "partial small subunit ribosomal RNA". The record is from RNAcentral. Lineage: Eukaryota; Viridiplantae; Streptophyta; Magnoliopsida; Poales; Poaceae.
AUGGAAGAUGUGGCACGGAUGAUGAAGGGGUUGAAGCUGUCGGAGGAGGAAAGAAAAGGGGUUAGGUUUAGGAUCACGGCGAAGGAGAAGGGGAAGUACAUGGAGGCAAAGGUGGUGGGGAAGAUCAUGUCGGAGAAACCUGCACAGCCAGAUGCGAUCCGUCUAUCCUUAGGGAAGGUGUGGUGCCCGAUCAAGGGCAUAGAGUGCAAGGAAGCGGGCGCCAACAAGUUUGUCUUCACAUUUCUUCAAGAGUCCGGGAAGCGGAAGGCGUUGGAGAACGGGCCUUGGAUGUUUGACAAGGAGCUCGUGGUGGUGGAGGAUUUCGAACCGAGCAAGAGGAUGGAAGACUAUGAAUUCAACAAUAUACCUAUCUGGAUUAGGGUCUUCAACCUCCCACUGGGCAUGAUGAAUAUAGAGUCGGCUGAAGAUAUUGGAAAUCUAGUUGGGACGUUCGUGGAGGCGGAUACGGGUGCAGAUGGAACGGCCAUAGGGAGGUUUUUGAGGGUCAAGAUCAGGAUGAGAAUUGACAAGCCGAUCAUGAGGGGCUUUAUUCUUGAGGAACAAGGGGGGGGGGGAGAAGAACCAGAGGAAGAAUGUGACGGAGGUGGGCAGGUUGGAGGAGGAGGAUGGCUGGUGCAGAUUUGA